UAAUACGUAGGUCCCGAGCGUUAUCCGGAAUUACUGGGCGUAAAGAGUUCGUAGGCGGUCCGUUAAGUUCGGCAUGAAAGACCGGGGCUCAACCCCGAGUUUGUGCCGGAUACUGGCGGACUAGAAUCCGGGAGAGGUUGGCAGAAUGGUACGAGUAGGGGUGCAAUCCGUUGAUACGUACUGGAAUACCGAAAGCGAAGGCAGCCAACUGGAACGGUAUUGACGCUGAGGAACGAAAGCGUGGGGAGCGAAAAGGAUUAGAUACCCUUGUAGUCCACGCCCUAAACGAUGGAUGCUGAGUGUCGGGCCUUGUGCCCGGUGCUUCGAAGCUAACGCAUUAAGCAUCCCGCCUGAGGAGUACGGUCGCAAGAUUAAAACUCAAAUGAAUUGACGG
Molecule: ribosomal RNA, 394 nt
Filed under: bacterium enrichment culture
Lineage: Bacteria
Description: bacterial SSU rRNA
Rfam family: Bacterial small subunit ribosomal RNA
Source: RNAcentral